This 301-nucleotide ribosomal RNA is filed under the name uncultured bacterium. RNAcentral's name for it is "partial 16S ribosomal RNA". It matches the Rfam family "Bacterial small subunit ribosomal RNA", at positions 509 to 807 of the family's 1533-position model. The record is from RNAcentral.
CAGUAGCCACGGUAAUACAUAGGGUGCAAGCGUUAAUCGGAAUUACUGGGCGUAAAGCGUGCGCAGGCGGUUCUAUAAGACAGAUGUGAAAUCCCCGGGCUCAACCUGGGAACUGCAUUUGUGACUGUAGAGCUGGAGUGCGGCAGAGGGGGAUGGAAUUCCGCGUGUAGCAGUGAAAUGCGUAGAUAUGCGGAGGAACACCGAUGGCGAAGGCAAUCCCCUGGGCCUGCACUGACGCUCAUGCACGAAAGCGUGGGGAGCAAACAGGAUUAGAUACCCCGGUAGUCCCUGUCUCUUAUAC